GAACGGGCCAGAGAUUGCCAAGAAAGAUUACAGGGAGUGUGCCGAGCUCCGGAGUCAUUUCUGCUCCGAUGACUGUUAUGUUCUGGCAAACAAUGAUGUCACUUAGGUAAACAGUCCUUCUGUUCAGAUCUCCCACGGAAUCAUCUGUGUACAAAUGUUUUUCUCAUGAAACCCCAAGUUUGUAGAGUCAUUGUCCUCCCCUCAUCACCUCUGUUUUUCCUCUGGCUUCUGGACAUCCAAGGUGCUGACUGAGUGCUGUACAUUGUACACUGUCACACUGCACAGUAAGCACUUGAACGUUUGCAACUCAAAUGUCUGUAUGAUUUUAAUGGCCUCAUCCUGGAGACAAUAUUUGGUGGUGAAUACUGUGUGCCACUGAUGGAAAAGCUGCCUAAAUAAUAGUCAGGACAUUGCUAGUAGCCAGAAAAUACAUGCCAGAUGAUCAUUCUUCCACAUUGAUGAGGACUGCUGAGUUGGAGUGACUGAAUUUGCAUUAUUUUUGCCUAAGAUCAACUGGCUGCCACAUCUAUGAUUAUGGAGUUGACCCACGCUAUCAGACCUGAUACAGUGAUGAAGAAACAUAGAAGUGCUACCUUGGUGAACAUAGGCAUUUUUUCCAGUUACACUGAAAUAAAUGCAGUUAUAAAUGUUACCCAUUUAAAAAUCUUUUCCUUUGUCAUAUUCCAC
Chinchilla lanigera (long-tailed chinchilla) is the source of this 687-nucleotide long non-coding RNA. RefSeq lists it as uncharacterized. The transcript has 7 exons. Lineage: Eukaryota; Metazoa; Chordata; Mammalia; Rodentia; Chinchillidae. The record is from RefSeq and is a predicted model, not a curated record.